This 224-nucleotide ribosomal RNA is filed under the name uncultured bacterium. Its description in RNAcentral is "partial 16S ribosomal RNA". It matches the Rfam family "Bacterial small subunit ribosomal RNA", at positions 1265 to 1500 of the family's 1533-position model. The record is from RNAcentral.
GAGCAAAUCUCAAAAACCGGUCCCAGUUCGGAUUGUAGGCUGCAACUCGCCUACAUGAAGUCGGAGUUGCUAGUAAUCGCGGAUCAGAAUGCCGCGGUGAAUGCGUUCCCGGGUCUUGUACACACCGCCCGUCACACCAUGGAAGUUGGGGCGCCCGAAGUUGCCUAAGAAAUAAGGUACCUAAGGCGAAACCAAUGACUGGGGUGAAGUCGUAACAAGGUAGC